UAGCGGCAGGCCUAACACAUGCAAGUCGAGGGGUAACAGGGAGCUUGCUCCGCUGACGACCGGCGCACGGGUGCGCAACGCGUAUGCAAUCUACCUCUUACUAAGGGAUAGCCCAGAGAAAUUUGGAUUAAUAUCUUAUGUGAUAUUAGACUGGCAUCGGUUUAAUAUUAAAGGUUACGGUAAGAGAUGAGCAUGCGUCUCAUUAGUUAGUUGGUAAGGUAACGGCUUACCAAGACUUCGAUGAGUAGGGGUCCUGAGAGGGAGAUCCCCCACACUGGUACUGAGACACGGACCAGACUCCUACGGGAGGCAGCAGUGAGGAAUAUUGGACAAUGGACGGAAGUCUGAUCCAGCCAUGCCGCGUGUAGGAAGACUGCCCUAUGGGUUGUAAACUACUUUUAUACAGGAAGAAUAAGAUCUACGUGUAGAUUGAUGACGGUACUGUAAGAAUAAGGACCGGCUAACUCCGUGCCAGCAGCCGCGGUAAUACGGAGGGUCCGAGCGUUAUCCGGAAUUAUUGGGUUUAAAGGGUCCGUAGGCGGGCUGUUAAGUCAGAGGUGAAAUGCUGCGGCUCAACCGUAUGCACUGCCUUUGAUACUGGCGGUCUUGAGUUAUAGUGAAGUGGCUAGAAUAAGUAGUGUAGCGGUGAAAUGCAUAGAUAUUACUUAGAAUACCGAUUGCGAAGGCAGGUCACUAACUAUACACUGACGCUGAUGGACGAAAGCGUGGGUAGCGAACAGGAUUAGAUACCCUGGUAGUCCACGCCGUAAACGAUGGAUACUAGCUGUUCGGUUUUCGGACUGAGCGGCCAAGCGAAAGUGAUAAGUAUCCCACCUGG
RNAcentral lists this ribosomal RNA (838 nucleotides) under Cellulophaga sp. NN014873. RNAcentral's name for it is "bacterial SSU rRNA". It matches the Rfam family "Bacterial small subunit ribosomal RNA", at positions 37 to 876 of the family's 1533-position model. Lineage: Bacteria; Pseudomonadati; Bacteroidota; Flavobacteriia; Flavobacteriales; Flavobacteriaceae. The record is from RNAcentral.